This 301-nucleotide unclassified non-coding RNA is filed under the name Glomeromycetes sp. RNAcentral describes it as "partial contains 5.8S ribosomal RNA and internal transcribed spacer 2". The stretch from base 1 to 71 matches the Rfam family "5.8S ribosomal RNA", at positions 84 to 154 of the family's 154-position model. The record is from RNAcentral. Lineage: Eukaryota; Fungi; Glomeromycota; Glomeromycetes.
GUGAAUCAUCAAAUUUUUGAACGCAUAUUGCACUCUCUGGUAUUCCUGGGAGUAUGCCUGUUUGAGAAUAAUUAAAAAGAAUCUUGGACCAAUUUUUUUUAGUCAUAGGAAAUGAGCUCUCCUCGUUUAUAGCUGUAGCUUAGAAUGAAUGGUCAAUUCUCAUUUUAGUCGAGACGCGGAAUAAUAUUAUUUCGCGAAAUCUUCAUUAUGUGACUAUCAAGUUUUGAUGCAUAGCAAUUUGCUUUUUAUGCGAUCAAUACAAAUAUUUUGAACAUUACCUCAAAUCAGGUAGUAGUACCCG